This 450-nucleotide ribosomal RNA is filed under the name Staphylococcus aureus. Its description in RNAcentral is "partial 23S ribosomal RNA". It matches the Rfam family "Bacterial large subunit ribosomal RNA", at positions 1658 to 2107 of the family's 2925-position model. Lineage: Bacteria; Bacillati; Bacillota; Bacilli; Caryophanales; Staphylococcaceae. The record is from RNAcentral.
CACAGGUAGUCAAGAUGAGAAUUCUAAGGUGAGCGAGCGAACUCUCGUUAAGGAACUCGGCAAAAUGACCCCGUAACUUCGGGAGAAGGGGUGCUCUUUAGGGUUAACGCCCAGAAGAGCCGCAGUGAAUAGGCCCAAGCGACUGUUUAUCAAAAACACAGGUCUCUGCUAAACCGUAAGGUGAUGUAUAGGGGCUGACGCCUGCCCGGUGCUGGAAGGUUAAGAGGAGUGGUUAGCUUCUGCGAAGCUACGAAUCGAAGCCCCAGUAAACGGCGGCCGUAACUAUAACGGUCCUAAGGUAGCGAAAUUCCUUGUCGGGUAAGUUCCGACCCGCACGAAAGGCGUAACGAUUUGGGCACUGUCUCAACGAGAGACUCGGUGAAAUCAUAGUACCUGUGAAGAUGCAGGUUACCCGCGACAGGACGGAAAGACCCCGUGGAGCUUUACUGU